CCUACGGGCGACUGCAGUGAGGAAUAUUGGUCAAUGGACGCGAGUCUGAACCAGCCAAGCCGCGUGAAGGAUGACUGCUCUAUGGGUUGUAAACUUCUUUUAUAUGGGAGUAAAAUCUUAUACGUGUGGGAUUUUGUAUGUAUCAUAUGAAUAAGGAUCGGCUAACUCCGUGCCAGCAGCCGCGGUAAUACGGAGGAUCCAAGCGUUAUCCGGAUUUAUUGGGUUUAAAGGGUGCGUAGGUGGAUUGUUAAGUCAGUUGUGAAAGUUUGCGGCUCAACCGUAAAAUUGCAGUUGAUACUGGCAGUCUUGAGUACAGUAGAGGUAGGCGGAAUGUGUGGUGUAGCGGUGAAAUGCUUAGAGAUCACGAAGAACACCGAUUGCGAAGGCAGCUCACUAGACUACAACUGACACUGAGGCUCGAAAGUGUGGGGAGCAAACAGGAUUAGAUACCCGAGUAGUC
Molecule: ribosomal RNA, 460 nt
Filed under: uncultured bacterium
Lineage: Bacteria
Description: partial 16S ribosomal RNA
Rfam family: Bacterial small subunit ribosomal RNA
Source: RNAcentral